CCCCCCCCGUCCUCUACUGAAGGGAAACUGAGCUGAAUGUGUGAAGACGUUCUUACAGUUGAUGAGCAGUAAUUUGGUUCAGUCAAAAUAAAACACAUACAGUUGUUAUUAUCUGUACUUUUAGUAUCGUGUUUCCUUUGUUGUAGAUGUGAAGCUUUUUUUUGUAAAUACAUUGUUUUCUUACAAAUGCUGCUGUUCUCAUGUCUGGUUUGUUCAACUGUUCGCUGCCUGAUACAUAGCGAGAAUCACCUCAGGCUCCUUUAACACUGUGAGAUUUUGGGUUUUCUGAGACGAAAGAGACGAUAGUGAGAGAAAUGUGGUCAAAUCGAAAACGAUGGUCUUAGAUGAGACUCGACAGCAAAUUUCUCAGAGUGUCAGAAUGCGACUGCUGCUACGACCCGCGUCUGCAUCCCAACCAAUCAGAAUAUGACAUUAAAUGAUGUAGAAUAAACCGGCUGGCACAGCAGUUUAGAAAGCAAACACCAUGUCUGCAGGAACAGCGCCAGGCCAAACCGUGUAAUUACAACUUCCGGGUCCGUCAUGUGAUGCAUGCUGGCCCAAAAAGCAUCUUGUUCAUACUCGAUCAUUGGAGAAGGAGUGACGGUAAAACGGGUGUCACAACCCCCCGCAAAAUGACUCGUUUCAUUAUCAAGAUUUGAUCCGUUUGGUCUGAUAACAUUUGGGAAGUCUAGAAGAGUCGUAUGGUUAAAUUAUUUUAUCCCAUUCAAGUGAGCAGAGAGCCAUCUGGAAGCAGAAGUCUCAGACGUGCAUAGUCUGAACCAGCUCGGGUGGAAAAGGACUCUAUUGUGAAUGAUCUAUGGGCCCAAAAAAACGAGGACGACCGCCGAAACAUGGCAGACUGUUUUUUUAUUCUGCUUCAUACACCACUGAGCAGUUUUCAUAGGGAAUGAAUUUGCACCAUCUUUGAACGUGGUAUCCAGUUCUCCUUAAUACAUCCAUGGUACACACAAACAAAAAGAGAUGGAGGCAAAAGGAAAAAGAAGUUUGUGUGAACUUGCUACAUUUUCAAAACAUAAGAGCAGUACGGAUGGAUGAUGACGUGUCUCUGCUUUCAUAUACUUUUUACUAUUUGCAUUGAGUUGAGUUGACACAAAGUG
Long non-coding RNA from Thunnus maccoyii (southern bluefin tuna), 1118 nucleotides. RefSeq lists it as uncharacterized. The record is from RefSeq and is a predicted model, not a curated record. The transcript is spliced from 3 exons. NCBI's taxonomy places the organism in Eukaryota, Metazoa, Chordata, Actinopteri, Scombriformes, Scombridae.